GAUGAACGCUGACAGAAUGCUUAACACAUGCAAGUCAUUGGCGAAGCUGCGCUUGCGCAGUCUAGCCAAGGCGGACGGGUGAGUAACGCGUAAGGAACUUGCCCUGCAGACAGGGAUAACAGACGGAAACGACUGAUAACACCUGGUAUUGUCAGGCUGGCGCAUGCCGGCCUGAUGAAAGGAGACGCUGCAGGAGAGCCUUGCGUCCUAUUAGCUAGUUCGUGGGGUAACGGCCCACCAAGGCGAUGAUAGGUAGCCGGCCUGAGAGGGUGAACGGCCACAAGGGGACUGAGAUACGGCCCUUACUCCGACGGGGGGCAGCAGUGGGGAAUAUUGGACAAUGGGGGCAACCCUGAUCCAGCAAUUCUGUGUGCACGAAGAAGGUUUUCGGAUUGUAAAGUGCUUUCAGAAGGGAAGAAGAAAGUGACGGUACCUGCAGAAGAAGCGACGGCUAAAUACGUG
Molecule: ribosomal RNA, 462 nt
Filed under: uncultured bacterium
Lineage: Bacteria
Description: partial 16S ribosomal RNA
Rfam family: Bacterial small subunit ribosomal RNA
Source: RNAcentral